GAUGAACGCUGGCGGCGUGCCUAAUACAUGCAAGUCGAGCGAACGGACGAGAAGCUUGCUUCUCUGAUGUUAGCGGCGGACGGGUGAGUAACACGUGGAUAACCUACCUAUAAGACUGGGAUAACUUCGGGAAACCGGAGCUAAUACCGGAUAAUAUUUUGAACCGCAUGGUUCAAAAGUGAAAGACGGUCUUGCUGUCACUUAUAGAUGGAUCCGCGCUGCAUUAGCUAGUUGGUAGGGUAACGGCUUACCAAGGCAACGAUGCAUAGCCGACCUGAGAGGGUGAUCGGCCACACUGGAACUGAGACACGGUCCAGACUCCUACGGGAGGCAGCAGUAGGGAAUCUUCCGCAAUGGGCGAAAGCCUGACGGAGCAACGCCGCGUGAGUGAUGAAGGCCUUCGGAUCGUAAAACUCUGUUAUUAGGGAAGAACAUAUGUGUAAGUAACUGUGCACAUCUUGACGGUACCUAAUCAGAAAGCCACGGCUAACUACGUGCCAGCAGCCGCGGUAAUACGUAGGUGGCAAGCGUUAUCCGGAAUUAUUGGGCGUAAAGCGCGCGUAGGCGGUUUUUUAAGUCUGAUGUGAAAGCCCACGGCUCAACCGUGGAGGGUCAUUGGAAACUGGAAAACUUGAGUGCAGAAGAGGAAAGUGGAAUUCCAUGUGUAGCGGUGAAAUGCGCAGAGAUAUGGAGGAACACCAGUGGCGAAGGCGACUUUCUGGUCUGUAACUGACGCUGAUGUGCGAAAGCGUGGGGACCAAACAGGAUUAGAUACCCUGGUAGUCCACGCUGUAAACGAUGAGUGCUAAGUGUUAGGGGGUUUCCGCCCCUUAGUGCUGCAGCUAACGCAUUAAGCACUCCGCCUGGGGAGUACGACCGCAAGGUUGAAACUCAAAGGAAUUGACGGGGACCCGCACAAGCGGUGGAGCAUGUGGUUUAAUUCGAAGCAACGCGAAGAACCUUACCAAAUCUUGACAUCCUUUGACAACUCUAGAGAUAGAGCUUUCCCCUUCGGGGGACAAAGUGACAGGUGGUGCAUGGUUGUCGUCAGCUCGUGUCGUGAGAUGUUGGGUUAAGUCCCGCAACGAGCGCAACCCUUAAGCUUAGUUGCCAUCAUUAAGUUGGGCACUCUAAGUUGACUGCCGGUGACAAACCGGAGGAAGGUGGGGAUGACGUCAAAUCAUCAUGCCCCUUAUGAUUUGGGCUACACACGUGCUACAAUGGACAAUACAAAGGGCAGCGAAACCGCGAGGUCAAGCAAAUCCCAUAAAGUUGUUCUCAGUUCGGAUUGUAGUCUGCAACUCGACUACAUGAAGCUGGAAUCGCUAGUAAUCGUAGAUCAGCAUGCUACGGUGAAUACGUUCCCGGGUCU
RNAcentral lists this ribosomal RNA (1372 nucleotides) under uncultured bacterium. RNAcentral describes it as "bacterial SSU rRNA". It matches the Rfam family "Bacterial small subunit ribosomal RNA", at positions 28 to 1381 of the family's 1533-position model. The record is from RNAcentral.